This 4462-nucleotide long non-coding RNA is filed under the name Paramuricea clavata. Lineage: Eukaryota; Metazoa; Cnidaria; Anthozoa; Malacalcyonacea; Plexauridae. The record is from RNAcentral.
UUACAAACCCCCGGACCCCAAUAGUGAGUCAGGCUGUCCAUAUUGGAUUCAUUGAUCUUCGGUGCACAGCAAUACACUUUUCAGGACUGAAGUAAGGAGCAAGGAGUAAUUUUAAAGAAUAAAAAAAUCAAUGUCAAUACCAAAUGUUGUGCUUGAACAUCCAAUGCAUUUGAUAACUUGUCUUUUAUAAAAUGAAAUAUUACUGUUCAUAAAGAUUUAACGCAUUAACAUGAUAAAGGCUUUUAUUUGUUAGCAAAAUUUGAUGUGGGAGACAGAGAAAGCUUAAAAUAAGUUUGAAGCAAUUUUGAACUGCAAUUUUCUUCUUUUGGUGUAUGUGUUGGAGUGAAUAAUCAAGCCACGCAAAGUAAUGUUUCCUGAAAUUUUGCUAAGACACAUAUGCCAAAAGGAGAACAUCAAAGUUUAAAAUCGCUUGUGUGAACAGGCCUUAACAGGUGUGAAUUACCCAAGUUCUUUCAAAAUAUUUAAAAUGAUCCUCCCUGUCAUGGGGAGAUAAUUGCAGUAAAAUGGAUUAAUGAAUUAUAAAGUUUCCCUCAAUGAUCCCUCUAAUGCAUACCCUGGUUCCAGCGGUUUAAAAUAAACCUCUGGUUGAAAACGGCAAUUGAUUCAUCGAGCCGCGCCAAUCACUUUGAAUUAGGGUUGGAUGAUUGUAUUAAAGCUCUCUGAUUGUUUAUAGAUGUUUUAUUUGAAUCAAUCAGAGAGCUUUAAUACAAUCAUCCAACCAGAAGACAGAGUCAGGAUCUGACCCUAAUUCAAACUGAUUGGCGCAGCUCGAUGAAUCAAUUGCCGCAUUCAACCAGAGGUUUAUUUUUCCUCUUCCCUUCACAUUGAAAAUAAUAAAAAUAAACCUCUGCAACCAGGGUAUCUAAUGCAUGGCCAGGUCCAGAUCGAACAUUUCCAUCAAGUACUAACUGUGGGAAGAGAGGGCUAGGGUUAUGCAAGGCUGUCUUGUUUGUGUACAGCAUUUGUUUUCCAAUUGUGUUGGCAUUGCAACACAGCAUCCACAUUUGCCAUUUACCAAAUUGACAAAUGCAGCUGGCUGACGCUGCAUAAACUCUAACGCAAAUGCUCUUCAAAGGGCAUUUAAAUCCAUUGCUUCCACCAUAUUCUGAAAUGAAUAUAUUUAUCAUUAAUUAAAUGCAAAGACUCAAGCACAGUGAAACACAGAUAUUUCUUACCACCAAAUUACUGCAUUUUCACACCAAUGUAGACUUGUAUAUAGACAGGUAAACCUUUUUUCACAUAAUUUGAUAUUUUACCCGGCAAGGAUAUGCAUAAUUAUGUGGGGUUUUUAAUAAAACAAAUCAUGUGUGUUAAAGCCAUUGGUUAAAGCUUUCAGAAAUGUAUGUCUGCGUAUAUUCUUGGCAGGCAAAGUAUCAAAAUAUGUAAACGAAGUUUACCCAGCUAUUGUUAGAUAAUCAUUAUCCUUUGAGUGAACUAUCCCAGUGAACAACAUUGCAUAUUCUCAAAUGAACCAUUGCUCAGGCCAUUUUUUUGCGUAUAAAUUAACGAAACAUAUAUAAACUAAUGAAUGAAUACAAUAAGAUUACAUGUGAAGCACCGUUUAUAACGAACAGUACAUAACUAUAAAUAGCUAUAAUACAAACUCACCAUCUGUCCUUCGAUUGUUCAUACAUGUAUCAAAAUCCUCUUCGUGGCACGUGCUUGAGCAAAGAAUUUCGCCCUCUCUAUCGAAGACAGAAGCUGGCGCAAGCCGCGACAUGAACAUAUCGUUUCCAAUUCUUCCAGCAAAAAGCUUUCUCCGAGUGCUUCUGCCAUGACAGCAACAAUGACUCUGGCAAUGUGUUUGGACGAACAAAUACCCCAAGGAAAGAUUCAUGAUUACUUUGACACUUCCAAAGUUUAUUUUACAAUGCCGAACAUUUAAUAAAUAUAUAAUCAACACAAUGAGUGCGGACUCGCACCUUUGGCUCGGCUGUGUCGGUCUCUUCUGAAUGUUUCAUCAACGAGGCACACAAAAACAAAUGCCAAAUUGAUCAACAAUAUAUCUUCCAUUGAUGAUCUUUCAAAAUAUUUAAUUGCUUGUCUUUCAGAAGACAAUUUUAAAAAAAUUAACAACUCCACUCCUGACUCGGACUCCAUUUAUUUAGUGCAUAGCCGCUAUACUUCAUAUUAUACAAUUGAAGUGGAUCCAAACCAAAACAAAAAAUGUAAACAAAGCCCGCACAUGCGCAGAAUGGACUGUAAUCUAGCUUUAAGGAAAUUUUAAAGAAUUUUCAAGGGAUUUUCUCUAAUUGGACGUUUUUUUAAAGUGGAAGCACUGCAAUUUUCAAAAAUAUAAUAUACAUCGCAAACUCGCAAAGAAAUAGAAUUUUGGGUGGAAUUAUACUCGUUUUUUAUAAGUACAAUCUAACAACAAUAUCUUCAGAAUAUAUGAUUCUUCAUCACAUUUACAAAUUUAUUAUUGUAUUUUUUUAUCAAUUUGAGAGACUUUUGAUUCGUGAUUUUGAUCAAUUUCUAUGAAAUUGGGUUCGUGAAAAAUGAAAAUUGAUUCGUGAUUCACGAAUCACGAACCGUUAUUUCGAACCCUGCUAACAAUAGUCCAUAGUUUAUUUAAUAUGUGUUUUAUCACUUUAUAUAUUAAGCAUAAAUAUCUGUGGCAUGGAUGGCCUAUAUUUUGCCGGAUGCCAGUAACCCAAUCCAGCAUAUCCCUACUCUCUGCCCACGGCCAUGUCUCUGCUUAACAUACUAUACAUAUUACAACUUUGCACUUCACUUGGUUCGAUUAGAAUUACUGGGUUUGGUGGAUAAUCCAAUAUAUAGAUACUAUUGAAUUAAGACCUAUAACCAGGAACGAUUGUGAAAAAUGUAACACUAAAUCUUCGACCAGGAAUUGAACCUACGGCCCUGUGCUUCCGGAACAGUGCUCUGCCCAACUGAGGUCCGGAAUCGCAGGACAAUAGGUUUGAUUACUGCCAGAUAUUACACCCUGCUACUACAUAUUACACCCUGCAUUACUUUGUACCAAUAUGAACAGUCUUUGUAAUUCAUGGUGAUUAUGACAAUAAACUAUGGACAUUAUCUUAUAUAUAAAGGAUAAGUCUUAUUAUUAUUUAUUUAAAAAAUUUCUGGUUUCUGAUUGGCUAACAGCCAACUGUGAAAUUGUCAUAUCAACUCAGUGGUUAACCAAAUAUGGAUUUUUCACAUUCAUAUUAGCAAAAUGACGUCAAAGAGUCAACAUGAAAAAAAUUUGGAUAUGUUUGCGCCAUAUUACUAUGACGAUAAGAUUUACAGGGUCUGAAAAUUUGCAGUAUCCCGAUAUCCACGGGAUACUAAAAUUUGGCUUUGGAUACCAAACUGUGAAUGACUUAUAUCCCAAUUGGAUACUAAGAAAAUUUCAAACAUUGAUACUGUAGCUUUUGAAUACUGUCUAUGAAUUUGCCACCCAAGUCUUUCCUCAUAUAAUGUGCAUUUUUGUGUAUUAAUGAAUUGUCUAGUUCUUGACAACUUGACUGUUGAAUCUCCUGUUGUUAUUGUAAUUUGUAACAGCGAGAGUUAUUGGAUGGGACAGGGUAUAAUACUUAUGGUAACCAGUAUCCAGAAGUGGGAUACUGCAUUCUCAGGGCGGAUACUAAACUUUGAAUCCUGGUAUCCCAGUUGGAUACUGAAAAGAUAGUUAAAUUUCAGACCCCGCAAGAAUCAUAUCGACUCGCUGACACCAUUGAUAUGAUGACGACGACGACAGCUGCCGAAGGACUAACUAGGAAUUGUUUUUUUCUUUAUACAGAUAAAAUACAAAUGGCUUCCGUUUGUUUUGAAUUUUUUAAAUAAAUAAUAAAAGUAUUAUUGAAUUUGGUUUUCGCACACAAUAUGAAGAAUUAUCAAUCCCUCAGUUUGGCGUUAUCAACCUCAGCCUUUGGCUUCGGUUGAUAACGGCAAACUUUGGGCUUCAUAAUUCUUCAUAUUGUGCUCAACCUCAUUCAAUAAUUGUUAAAUAUUAAUUAAAAACUGUUUUUACAUCAAGAGUUAAUAGUCCCUUAUAACUGACUGAGCAGUGUCUCAGUUUAGGAUGCAAGUCCAUUGUUCUAGUUUUUUAUAGGGUAUAAUUUACUAAUUAUGAUUAUAUUUUCAAUAAAUAAAGUUUUCCUUUUACAGAUUCCAAUACGAUGGAUCUCUGGUGGCAUUUGCAUGACAGCCUGUGCUUGGAUCAGUAUUAAAUGUACAUGAAGAAAUCAAUGGACUUGAACAAAUUGUUUGUUAGAUCAUAAUAUUGAUUGUGAAGUGGAAAGUGUUAUAAUACGGCUUUGUGAGAAACUCUAUUCGCCACAACACAUUGCUGUGCAAUCAGAACUAAACAUAGUUGUGUAUAAGAAUGACAGAAAAUAAAACUUAUGUUGUGCAUACAGAAUUUUCUAUUUUUUAAAUACAUAAUAUAGGUAAUAUAAUAUAGUAGAAUUUUAUGUCUAAAAAUUUUCUAAAAGUA